CCCGAUUUUAAAAUGGCGUCGGUUUGCUGAUUUCGGUUGAAUUUGGAACAAGUUGUUUUCUUCUGGACAUGGACAACUACAUGAAUGAAGGAAAGGAUACCAGUUCAGACUUCCUGUUCUGCAAGUUCAGUUGACUAAAUGCUGAUUUGGGACGAGUUCUUAAAUGAGUCUGCUGUUGAUAAGAACAACAUAGAUCUUUCUGACGAUGGUGAUGUCGAGAUGGUGGCGACAGAAGAUGACACUGCAAGUUUAGCUUAGGAAUAAUCCACACCAGAAGCUCUUAAAUGUCUGCUCAGAAGAGGACAUAGCAAGCUGUGCACCAUUAAAGAGAACUUAUAUUCACUGCUGUUUGCAGCUACAGCAUCGAUGAUGGGGUGGCAACACAAUACUGUUCUUCAGGGAAAGCAGAAGUGGAUCACCUUUGUUGACAAAGUGAUAUUCGACUGGUUUGGCCUUCCAUGCCACUUGCCCCUGCAGACAUGUUAUGAUUCUAACAACAAGUUGCAUUUCAUUUGGUGGAUGUACUGUUUACUGUGUUUUUUUGUAUGUUAAUCAUUGUUUUUAGCUCACCUGAGCACAACGUGCUCAUGGUGAGCUUUUGUGAUCGCCUUUUGUCCGUCGUCCGUUGUCUGUCGUGCGACGUCAACAUAUGCCUUGUUCACUCUCUAGAGGCCACAUUUAUUGUCCAAUCUUCAUGAAAUUUGGUAAGAAGAUUGGUUUUAAUGAUAUCUUUGAUGAGUUCGAAAAUGGUGACGUUUGCUUGAAAAACAUGGCUGCCAAUGGGCUUGACAUUUUUCCGUAUAUGGCUAUAGCAAAAUCUUGUUAACACUCUAGAGGCCACAUUUAUUUCCGAUCCUCAUAAAACUUGGUCAGAAGAUUCAUCCCAAUAGUAUCUUGGACGAGUUCGAAAAUGAUGUCGGUUGGUAGAAAGACAUGGCCGCCAGGGGGCGGGGCAUUUUUCCUUAUAUGGCUAUAGUAAAACCUUGUUAACACUCUAGAGGCCACAUUUAUUUUCCGAUCUUCAUGAAACUUGCUCAGAAGAUUUGUCCUACUGAUAUCUUGGAUGAGUUCAGAAAUGGUAACCUUUGCUUGAAAAACAUGGCUGCCAAGGGGCGGGGCAUUUUUCCUUAUAUGGCUAUAUAUGACUAUAGUAAAAUCUUGUUAACACUCCAGAGGCCACAUUUGUUGUCCAAUCUUCAUGAAACUUGGUCAGAAGAUUUAUCCCAAUAAUAUCUUGGACUAGUUCGAAAAUGAUGACGGUUGGUUGAAAAACAUGGCCGCCAGGGACGGGGCAUUUUUCCUUAUAUGGCUAGAGUAAAACCUUCUUAACACUCUAGAGGCCACAUUUAUUGUCCAGUCUUGAUGAAAUUUGGUCAGAAGAUUUGUCUUAAUGAUAUUUUGGUUUAGUUCAAAAAUGGUUACGUUUGCUUGAAAAACAUGGCCGCCAAGGGCGGGGCAUUUUUCCUUAUAUGGCUAUAUAAGGCUAUAGUAAAAUCUUGUUAACACUCUAGAGGCCACAUUUAUAGUCCGAUCUUCAUGAAACUCUGUCAGAAGAUUCAUCUUAAUAAUAUCUUGGAAGAGUUAAAAAAUGAUGCCGGUUGGUUGAAAAACAUGGCCACCAUGGGGGCGGGGCUAUUUUCCUUAUAUGGCUAUAGUAAAACCUUGUUAACACUCUUGAGGUCACAUUUAUUUUCCGAUCAUCAUGAAACUUGGUCAGAAGAUUUGUCCCAAUGAUAUCUUGGAUGAGUUCGAAAAUGGUUUUGGUUGCUUUAAAAACAUGGCCACCAGGGAUGGGGCAUUUUUCCUAAUAUGGCUAUAUAUGGCUAUAGUAAAACCUUGUUAACAUUCUAGAGGCCACAUUUAUUGUCCAAUUUUCAUGAAAUUUGGUCUGAAGAUUGGUCUCAAUGAUAUCUUGGAUGAAUUUAAAAAUAAUUAUGUUUGCCUGAAAAAAAUGGCUUCCAAGGGGCGGGGCACACUCUAGAGGCCACAUUUACUGUCCGAUCUUCAUAAAACUUGGUCAGAAGAUUAAUCUUGAUAAUAUCUUGGACGAGUUAAAAAAUGAAUCCGGUUGGUUGAAAAACAUGGCUGCCAGGGGGCGGGGCAUUUUUCCUUAUUUGGCUAUAGUAAAACCUUGUUAACACUCUAGACGCCACAUUUUUUUUCCGAAUUUCGUGAAACUUGGUCAGCAGAUUUAUCCCAAUAAUAUCUUGUUAUCUCAGGUGAGCGACUUUGGGCGUGUGUCCGUCAACAAUUUGUUUGUGUAGACAGUAGAGGUCACAGUUUUCAUCCAAUCUUUAUGAAAUUUGGUCACAAUGUUUAUCUUGAUAACAUCUGGGUUGGGAUUGUAUUUUGGUCAUCUGGGGUCAAAAACUAGGUCACUAGGUUAAAUAAUAGAAAAACCUUGUGUAGACAAUGGAGGUCAAAGUUUUCAUCCAAUAUUUAUGAAAUUUGUUUAGAAUGUUUAUCUUGAUGAAAUCUGAGAUGGGAUUGUAUUUGGGUCAACUGGGGUCAAAAACUAGGUCAAUAGGUCAAAUAAUAGAAAAACCUUGUGUAGGCAAUAGAGGUCACAGUUUUCAUCCAAUCUUUAUGAAAUUUGGUCACAAUUUUUAUUUUGAUGAAAUCUGGGUUGGGAUUGUAUUUGUGUCAUCUGGGGUCAAAAACUAGGUCACUAGGUUGAAUAAUAGAAAAACUUUGUGUAGACAAUAGAGGUCACAGUUUUCAUCCAAUCUUUAUGAAAUUUGAUCAGAAUGUUUAUCUUGAUAAAAUCUGGGUUGGGAUUGUGUUUGGGUCAUCUGGGGUCAAAAACUAGGUCACAAGGUCAAAUAAUAGGAAAACCUUGUGUAGACAAUAAAGGUAACAGUUUUCAUCCAAUCUUUAUGAAAUUUGGUCAGAAUGUUUAUCUUGAUAAAAUCCGGAUAGAGAUUGUAUUUGGGUCAUCUGGGGUCAGAAGUAGGUCACUAGGUCAAAUCAUAGAAAAACCUUGUGUAGAAAAUAGAGGUCACAGUUUUCAUCCAAUCUUUAUGAAAUUUGGUCAGAAUGUUUAUCUUGAUCAAAUCUGGUUUGGGAUUGUAUUUGGGUCAUCUGGGGUUAAAAACUAGGUCACUAGGUCAAAUAAUAGGAAAACCUUGUGUAGACAAUAAAGGUCACAGUUUUCAUCCAAUCUUUAUGAAAUUUGGUCAGAAUGUUUAUUUCGAUCAAAUCUGGAUUGAAAUUGUAUUUGGGUCAUCUGGGGUCAGAACUAGGUCAAUAGGUCAAAUCAUAGAAAAACCUUGUGUAGACAAUAGAGGUCACAGUUUUCAUUAGAUCUUAAUGAAAUAUAGUCAGAAUGUUUGUCUUGUUAAUAUCUUGGUUGCGAUUGAAUGUGGGUCAUCUAGGGUUAAAAACUAGGUCACUAGGUCAAAAUUAAAAAAACUUGUGUAAACAGAAGAGGUCACAGUUUUCAUCCAAACUUAAUAAAAUUUGGCCAGAUUGUUAAUCUUGAUGAAAUCUGGGUUGGGGUUGUAUUUGUUUUCGUCUGGGGUCAAAAACUAGGUCACUAGGUCAAAUCAUAGAAAAACUUUGUGUAGACAAUAGAGGUCAUAGUUUUCAUCUGAUCUUAAUGAAAUAUGGUCAGAAUGUGUAUCUUGAUAAUAUCUGAUUUUGGAUCAUCUGGGGUCAACAAUUAGGUCACCGGGCCAAUUCUAGUAAAACCUUGUGUAGAUGAUAGAGGUCACAGUUUUCAUCAUGUCUUAAUGAAAUUUUGUCAGAAUGUAUUAAUUAAUGAAAUCUGGCUUGGGAUUGUAUAUGGAUCUGAUAGAAUUUAAGUUCAUGUAGCAAAGUAAGUCAGGUGAGCGAUUCAGGACCAUCAUGGCCCUCUUGUUUAGCAAUUGUGUUUGGAAAUUUUGCAACUGCAGCAUUUCAUUUUGAUUUUGUAACCCUGAGAGCAAUGCACUUUCUGUUGAAAUAUUAUUUAUUUUGUUACGCUGGCAUAACAUUUUAAGUUUUGGUCUGUAAAUAAGAAAUGAAAUGAAAUGCAAGUGAUUCACUUUGGAGUUGAAAUGUUGGAAAUUUGUUAUGCUGGCAUAACGUUUUAAAUUUUGGUCUGUAAAUAAGAAAUGAUAUGAAAUGCAAGUGAUUCACUUUUGAGAUGAAAUGUUUAAAAUGUUGUUACGCUGGCAUAACAUUUUAAGUUUUGUUCUGUAAAUAAGAAUAAUUCGAAAUGCAAGCGAUUCACUUUUGAGAUGAAAUGUUUGGAAUUUUGUUACGCUGGCAUAACAUUUUUAGUUUGGCUAGGUAAAUAAGGAAUAAUUGGAAACUUGAGAGCAAUGCACUUUCAGUUGAAAUAUUAUUUAUUUUGUUACGCUGGCAUAACAUUUAAAGUUUUGGUCUGUAAAUAAGAAAUCAUUUGAAAUGCAAGUGAUUAACUUUGUAGUUGAAAUGUUUGGAAUUUUGUUACGCUGGCAUAACAUUGCAAGUUUUGGUCUGUAAAUAAAAAUCAUUUGAAAUGCAAGUGAUUCACUUUGGAGUUGAAAUGUUUGGAAUUUUGUUACGCUUGCAUAACAUUGCAAGUUUUGGUCUGUAAAUAAAAAUCACUUGAAAUGCAAGCGAAUCAAUUUGGAGUUGAAAUGUUCGGAAUUUUGUUACGCUGGCAUAACGUUUUAAGUUUUGGUGUGUAAAUAAGAAAUGAUAUGAAAUGCAAGUGACUCACGUUGGAGUUGAAAUGUUCGGAAUUUUGUUACGCAGGCAUAACAUUUUAAGUUUUGGUUUGUAAAAAAGAAAUUAUUCGAAAUGCAAGUGAUUCACUUUGGAGUUGAAAUGUUGAAAUUUUGUUACGCUGGCAUAACAUGUUAAGUUUUGGUCUGUAAAUAAGAAUAAUUUGAAAUGCAAGCGAUUCACUUUGGAGUUGAAAUGUAUCGAAUUUUGUUACGCUGGCAUAACAUUUUAAAUUUUGGUCUGUAGAUAAGAAAUGAUAUGAAACGCAAGUGAUUCACUUUGGAGUUGAAAUGUUUAGAAUUUUGUUACGCUGGCAUAACAUUUAAAGUUUUGGUCUGUAAAAAAGAAAUCAUUCGAAAUGCAAGCGAUUCACUUUUUAGAUGGAUUGUUUGGAAUUUUGUUACGCUGGCAUAACAUUUUAAGUUUUGUUCUGUAAAUAAGAAAUGAUUUUAAAUGCAAGCGAUUCACUUUUGAGUUGAAAUGUGAUGAAUUUUGUUAAGAUGGUGUAACAUAUUUUUCUUUUUCAAU
Dreissena polymorpha is the source of this 5220-nucleotide long non-coding RNA. RefSeq lists it as uncharacterized. The transcript has 4 exons. The record is from RefSeq and is a predicted model, not a curated record. NCBI's taxonomy places the organism in Eukaryota, Metazoa, Mollusca, Bivalvia, Myida, Dreissenidae.